GACGAACGCUGGCGGCGUGCCUAAUACAUGCAAGUCGAACGAGAGCGACCGGUGCUUGCACUGGUCAAUCUAGUGGCGAACGGGUGAGUAACACGUGGGUAACCUGCCCAUCAGAGGGGGAUAACAUCCGGAAACGGAUGCUAAAACCGCAUAGGUCUUCGAACCGCAUGGUUUGAAGAGGAAAAGAGGCGCAAGCUUCUGCUGAUGGAUGGACCCGCGGUGCAUUAGCUAGUUGGUGAGGUAACGGCUCACCAAGGCCGUGAUGCAUAGCCGACCUGAGAGGGUGAUCGGCCACAUUGGGACUGAGACACGGCCCAAACUCCUACGGUAGGCAGCAGUAGGGAAUCUUCCGCAAUGGACGCAAGUCUGACGGAGCAACGCCGCGUGAGUGAAGAAGGUUUUCGGAUCGUAAAACUCUGUUGUUAGAGAAGAACAAGUGCUAGAGUAACUGUUAGCGCCUUGACGGUAUCUAACCAGAAAGCCACGGCUAACUACGUG
RNAcentral lists this ribosomal RNA (498 nucleotides) under uncultured bacterium. Its description in RNAcentral is "partial 16S ribosomal RNA". It matches the Rfam family "Bacterial small subunit ribosomal RNA", at positions 28 to 507 of the family's 1533-position model. The record is from RNAcentral.